This 254-nucleotide ribosomal RNA is filed under the name uncultured bacterium. Its description in RNAcentral is "partial 16S ribosomal RNA". It matches the Rfam family "Bacterial small subunit ribosomal RNA", at positions 524 to 776 of the family's 1533-position model. The record is from RNAcentral.
UACGUAGGGUGCGAGCGUUGUCCGGAAUUAUUGGGCGUAAAGAGCUCGUAGGCGGUGUGUCACGUCGUUCGUGAAAACCUGCAGCUUAACUGUGGGCGUGCGGUCGAUACGGGCAUCACUGGAGUUCGGCAGGGGAGACUGGAAUUCCUGGUGUAGCGGUGAAAUGCGCAGAUAUCAGGAGGAACACCGGUGGCGAAGGCGGCUCUCUGGGACGGUACUGACGCUGAGACGCGAAAGCGUGGGGAGCGAACAGG